This 510-nucleotide ribosomal RNA is filed under the name uncultured bacterium. Its description in RNAcentral is "partial 16S ribosomal RNA". It matches the Rfam family "Bacterial small subunit ribosomal RNA", at positions 29 to 523 of the family's 1533-position model. The record is from RNAcentral.
AUUGAACGCUGGCGGCAUGCCUUACACACGCAAGUCGAGCGGCAGCGCGGGGGCAACCCUGGCGGCGAGCGGCGAACGGGUGAGUAAUACAUCGGAACGUGUCCAGUAGCGGGGGAUAACCUGUCGAAAGAUAGGCUAAUACCGCAUACGACCUACGGGUGAAAGCGGGGGACUCUCGGGCCACUGAGGGCCUCGCACUAUUGGAGCGGCCGAUGUCGGAUUGGCUAGUUGGCGGGGUAACGGCCCACCAAGGCGACGAUCCGUAGCUGGUCUGAGAGGACGACCAGCCACACUGGAACUGAGACACGGUCCAGACUCCUACGGGAGGCAGCAGUGGGGAAUUUUGGACAAUGGGCGCAAGCCUGAUCCAGCCAUGCCGCGUGAGUGAAGAAGGCCUUCGGGUUGUAAAGCUCUUUCGGCGGGGACAAAACGGUCCGUGACAACACCACGGACUAAUGACGGUACUCGCAGAAGAAGCACCGGCUAACUACGUGCCAGCCGCCGCAGUAA